RNAcentral lists this ribosomal RNA (277 nucleotides) under uncultured bacterium. RNAcentral's name for it is "partial 16S ribosomal RNA". It matches the Rfam family "Bacterial small subunit ribosomal RNA", at positions 30 to 305 of the family's 1533-position model. The record is from RNAcentral.
AUUGAACGCUGGCGGCAUGCCUUACACAUGCAAGUCGAACGGCAGCACGGGAGCAAUCCUGGUGGCGAGUGGGCGAACGGGGUGAGUAAUAUAUCGGAACGUGCCCGGUCGUGGGGGAUAACGUAGCGAAAGCUACGCUAAUACGCAUACGAUCUACGGGAUGAAAGCGGGGGGAUCGCAAGACCUCGCGCGAUUGGAGCGGCCGAUAUCAGAUUAGGAGUUGGUGNGGUAAAGGCUCACCAAGCCGACGAUCUGUAGCUGGUCUGAGAGGACGACC